Molecule: ribosomal RNA, 779 nt
Filed under: Bacillus sp. (in: firmicutes)
Lineage: Bacteria; Bacillati; Bacillota; Bacilli; Caryophanales; Bacillaceae
Description: bacterial SSU rRNA
Rfam family: Bacterial small subunit ribosomal RNA
Source: RNAcentral
GGAUUAGAGCUUGCUCUUAUGAAGUUAGCGGCGGACGGGUGAGUAACACGUGGGUAACCUGCCCAUAAGACUGGGAUAACUCCGGGAAACCGGGGCUAAUACCGGAUAACAUUUUGAACCGCAUGGUUCGAAAUUGAAAGGCGGCUUCGGCUGUCACUUAUGGAUGGACCCGCGUCGCAUUAGCUAGUUGGUGAGGUAACGGCUCACCAAGGCAACGAUGCGUAGCCGACCUGAGAGGGUGAUCGGCCACACUGGGACUGAGACACGGCCCAGACUCCUACGGGAGGCAGCAGUAGGGAAUCUUCCGCAAUGGACGAAAGUCUGACGGAGCAACGCCGCGUGAGUGAUGAAGGCUUUCGGGUCGUAAAACUCUGUUGUUAGGGAAGAACAAGUGCUAGUUGAAUAAGCUGGCACCUUGACGGUACCUAACCAGAAAGCCACGGCUAACUACGUGCCAGCAGCCGCGGUAAUACGUAGGUGGCAAGCGUUAUCCGGAAUUAUUGGGCGUAAAGCGCGCGCAGGUGGUUUCUUAAGUCUGAUGUGAAAGCCCACGGCUCACCCGUGGAGGGUCAUUGGAAACUGGAAGACUGGAGUGCAGAAGAGGAAAGUGGAAUUCCAUGUGUAGCGGUGAAAUGCGUAGAGAUAUGGAGGAACACCGGUGGCGAAGGCGACUUUCUGGUCUGUAACUGACACUGAGGCGCGAAAGCGUGGGGAGCAAACAGGAUUAGAUACCCUGUAGUCCACGCCGUAAACGAUGAGUGCUAAGUGUUAGAGGGUUU